Molecule: ribosomal RNA, 1493 nt
Filed under: uncultured bacterium
Lineage: Bacteria
Description: bacterial SSU rRNA
Rfam family: Bacterial small subunit ribosomal RNA
Source: RNAcentral
GAGAGUUUGAUCCUGGCUCAGGAUGAACGCUAGCUACAGGCUUAACACAUGCAAGUCGAGGGGCAGCAUGGUCUUAGCUUGCUAAGGCCGAUGGCGACCGGCGCACGGGUGAGUAACGCGUAUCCAACCUGCCUUACACUCUUGGACAGCCUUCUGAAAGGGAGAUUAAUACAAGAUGUUAUCAUGAGUAAGCAUUUUCACAUGAUUAAAGGUUUACCGGUGUAAGAUGGGGAUGCGUUCCAUUAGAUAGUAGGCGGGGUAACGGCCCACCUAGUCUUCGAUGGAUAGGGGUUCUGAGAGGAAGGUCCCCCACAUUGGAACUGAGACACGGUCCAAACUCCUACGGGAGGCGGCAGUGAGGAAUAUUGGUCAAUGGACGAGAGUCUGAACCAGCCAAGUAGCGUGAAGGAUGAAGGUUCUAUGGAUUGUAAACUUCUUUUAUACGGGAAUAAACGAAUCCACGUGUGGAUUUUUGCAUGUACCGUAUGAAUAAGGAUCGGCUAACUCCGUGCCAGCAGCCGCGGUAAUACGGAGGAUCCGAGCGUUAUCCGGAUUUAUUGGGUUUAAAGGGAGCGUAGAUGGGUUGUUAAGUCAGUUGUGAAAGUUUGCGGCUCAACCGUAAAAUUGCAAUUGAUACUGGCAGUCUUGAGUACAGUUGAGGUAGGCGGAAUUCGUGGUGUAGCGGUGAAAUGCUUAGAUAUCACGAAGAACUCCGAUUGCGAAGGCAGCUUACUAACCUGUAACUGACAUUGAUGCUCGAAAGUGUGGGUAUCAAACAGGAUUAGAUACCCUGGUAGUCCACACGGUAAACGAUGAAUACUCGCUGUAGGCGAUAUACAGUCUGCGGCCAAGCGAAAGCAUUAAGUAUUCCACCUGGGGAGUACGCCGGCAACGGUGAAACUCAAAGGAAUUGACGGGGGCCCGCACAAGCGGAGGAACAUGUGGUUUAAUUCGAUGAUACGCGAGGAACCUUACCUGGGCUUAAAUUGCAACCGAAUAUGGCGGAAACGCUAUAGCUAGCAAUAGCGGUUGUGAAGGUGCUGCAUGGUUGUCGUCAGCUCGUGCCGUGAGGUGUCGGCUUAAGUGCCAUAACGAGCGCAACCCUUGCCGAUAGUUACUAACAGGUUAUGCUGAGGACUCUGUCGGGACUGCCAUCGUAAGAUGUGAGGAAGGUGGGGAUGACGUCAAAUCAGCACGGCCCUUACGUCCGGGGCUACACACGUGUUACAAUGGGGGGUACAGAGGGCUGCUACCACGCAAGUGGAUGCCAAUCCCAAAAACCUCUCUCAGUUCGGAUUGAAGUCUGCAACUCGACUUCAUGAAGCUGGAUUCGCUAGUAAUCGCGCAUCAGCCACGGCGCGGUGAAUACGUUCCCGGGCCUUGUACACACCGCCCGUCAAGCCAUGGGAGCCGGGGGUACCUGAAGUGCGUAACCGCAAGGAGCGCCCUAGGGUAAAACUGGUGACUGGGGCUAAGUCGUAACAAGGUAGCCG